This 253-nucleotide ribosomal RNA is filed under the name uncultured bacterium. RNAcentral's name for it is "partial 16S ribosomal RNA". It matches the Rfam family "Bacterial small subunit ribosomal RNA", at positions 524 to 776 of the family's 1533-position model. The record is from RNAcentral.
UACGUAGGGCGCAAGCGUUGUCCGGAAUUAUUGGGCGUAAAGAGCUCGUAGGCGGCUUGUCACGUCGAUUGUGAAAGCCCGAGGCUUAACCUCGGGUCUGCAGUCGAUACGGGCUAGCUAGAGUGUGGUAGGGGAGAUCGGAAUUCCUGGUGUAGCGGUGGAAUGCGCAGAUAUCAGGAAGAACACCCGUGGCUAAGGCGGCUCUCUAGUACGGUACUGACGCUGAGACGCGAAAGCGUGGGGAGCGAACAGG